Molecule: long non-coding RNA, 647 nt
Organism: Diuraphis noxia (Russian wheat aphid)
Lineage: Eukaryota; Metazoa; Arthropoda; Insecta; Hemiptera; Aphididae
Source: RefSeq, a predicted model, not a curated record
AUAGUAUUAUCAUUAUAGCAGCAGAAGCAGUUACAACAGUAUAGUCGCUGACCGAAAAAAAUUCGUUCUUACUCACAUUCGAUUAUCAAGACGUAUUCCGGUCAAUAUACAAGAUGAAUAAAUACCUGAUGUUGCUGGUAGCGGUGUAUUUGUUUGCGAUGAUUGGAUUGGCGUAUGGUGAUACGCAUGCAUUCGUUUGUCCAAGUGAAUGUUGGUUCGACUGGAAUGCUGCAUACAAACAUUGUAUUUCACCAGUUGCAAUAUUCAAUGGCUGUGAUGGGACUGAAGGUCAUUCGGAAUGUCGAUGUUGGUGUUGUUUAACUUAUUGACAGCUCGAUUUACUUUAAAAUUUGUGAGCAGCAUUAUAAUAUAUGGAUAUGCAAUAUAAUAUGAAGGAAAUUUGAAAACAUCAAAGUCAAUUGGUAUUUUCUUUUUUGUAUCAAAUUUUCGAAUUCUCCUUUUUUAUAUUCCAAAAUUUUAUUCAUUUGUGAUGUACAAAAAUAUUGAUCAAAAACAAAAAAAAUCAUACAUAAAUUAUAACUAACUAAUUAUUAUUAUUUUACUUAAUACUCAAAUUCUGUAAAACUAUAAACAACAUUUGUCAAUGUAAACUAUGUUAUUAAACAAAAUAUAAAUUAUGUACCUAA